Molecule: ribosomal RNA, 433 nt
Filed under: uncultured bacterium
Lineage: Bacteria
Description: partial 16S ribosomal RNA
Rfam family: Bacterial small subunit ribosomal RNA
Source: RNAcentral
AGCGAACGCUGGCGGCAGGCCUAACACAUGCAAGUCGAACGAACUCUUCGGAGUUAGUGGCGGACGGGUGAGUAACACGUGGGAACGUGCCUUUUGGUUCGGAAUAACUCAGGGAAACUUGUGCUAAUACCGAAUGCGCCCUUCGGGGGAAAGAUUUAUCGCCAUUAGAGCGGCCCGCGUCUGAUUAGCUAGUUGGUGAGGUAACGGCUCACCAAGGCGACGAUCAGUAGCUGGUCUGAGAGGAUGACCAGCCACACUGGGACUGAGACACGGCCCAGACUCCUACGGGAGGAAGCAGUGGGGAAUCUUGCGAAAUGGACGAAAGCCUGACGCAGCCAUGCCGCGUGAAUGAUGAAGGUCUUAGGAUAGUAAAAUUCUUUCACCGGGGACGAUAAUGACGGUACCCGGAGAAGAAGCCCCGGCUAACUACGUG